CAUAAUGUUACAUGGCAUCAGAAGCCCACGCCCAGGCCUAACAGCCAUAACAUUAUGGAUUUAUCCUCUACCUCUACAGAUAUGUACUCUUCAACCCCAACCACUAGCACACAAAUAGCUCCAAUGCCCGUUUUGCUUUGUCUUCCCAACGCUUCAAUUUUCUUUCCAUUAAGCUGACCUCCAGUAAUUUUCUUCUCUAGUUGGCGCAUUUUACGCCACUGCUUCAUAAUCACAACUUAGCCAAUCAUGUAGUUAGACCACCCUCUGUUCUUUCACAGACCUUUGAUGAUGGAACACCAAACCCGAAAUACACUCAUUGGUUUUGCUAAGAACAAAUGAUCUUGAGUUAGCUAGUUUGUUCCAUCUCUGAGAUAAUCCUACCCAAAAUUAUUGGCCACCAUGCGGCGAGGGAGCCAUAGCAAAAACUUGCUACUAUCUAUUCGUCAGGAUCACACACGCAAGUUCAAUAACUGCGCAAGCUGCUCAAGCAUCUGAGCAAAGGUAAUGACACCAUAGACGUGUACAUGUAGCAUUCAAAAUACAUAAGCGAUCAACUUGUGGCGUUACAAUGUUCGGUGAGUGAAGAGGCACUAGUAAGCGAUGUCUUGGAGGGUCUUGGAACAAUUUAUAGGCCCUUUACAAGAGCUAUCGAAGCUUGCAAUGCUCCUUUGUCAUUCGAUUAUUUGUAUGCUCUCCUUCUUAGUGAGGAAAAUCAAUUGAAGAUGGAAAUAAUUUCCAUAGAUACUUCUGUUCAGCCAAUGAUGCAAGUGGCCCAAAAGUCCACCUAUAAUCAGGGCCAAGGACCUCCACGCAAUGGAAAAGGACGGUGCAAUUACAAUUUAACAAAUCAAUAGAAAAAUAAUGGCUCAAUUAUUUGUCACAACUGCCAUUGCCAUAGCCACAUUACCAGACAAUGUCCAUCCCCUAAAUCCACCUUCACCAACGCCCAAUCCCAACCAAUAACAAACUUUACAUCCAUGGGUAGCGGUCAAAUGCAAAAUUGGACAAUAGAAUUAGGGGCUAAUUACCAUCUCACAGCUGAUCAUGGAAAUAUACAACGUUCAACACCUUGCAUUGGCAAUAACAAUAUUACUAUAUGUAAUGGUAAAACAAUUCCUAUAUCUCAUCACGGUUCCUCUUCUAUGUUUGCUGAUAAUGUUCCUUUUCUUGUUAAUAAUAGUUUGUGU
This 1187-nucleotide unclassified non-coding RNA is filed under the name Hevea brasiliensis (rubber tree). Lineage: Eukaryota; Viridiplantae; Streptophyta; Magnoliopsida; Malpighiales; Euphorbiaceae. The record is from RNAcentral.